CAGUCGCCACGGGAAUACAGAGGGUGCGAGCGUUAAUCGGAUUUACUGGGCGUAAAGCGUGCGUAGGCGGCUUUUUAAGUCGGAUGUGAAAUCCCUGAGCUUAACUUAGGAAUUGCAUUCGAUACUGGGAAGCUAGAGUAUGGGAGAGGAUGGUAGAAUUCCAGGUGUAGCGGUGAAAUGCGUAGAGAUCUGGAGGAAUACCGAUGGCGAAGGCAGCCAUCUGGCCUAAUACUGACGCUGAGGUACGAAAGCAUAAGGAGCAAACAGGAUUAGAUACCCGCGUAGUCCCUGUCUCUUAUAC
RNAcentral lists this ribosomal RNA (301 nucleotides) under uncultured bacterium. RNAcentral's name for it is "partial 16S ribosomal RNA". It matches the Rfam family "Bacterial small subunit ribosomal RNA", at positions 509 to 807 of the family's 1533-position model. The record is from RNAcentral.